UACGUAGGGGGCUAGCGUUGUCCGGAUUUAUUGGGCGUAAAGAGCGUGUAGGCGGCCAGACAGGUCCGUUGUGAAAACUAGAGGCUUAACCUCUAGACGUCGAUGGAAACCGUCUGGCUAGAGUCCGGAAGAGGAGAAUGGAGUUCCUGGUGUAGCGGUGAAAUGCGCAGAUAUCAGGAAGAACACCCGUGGCUAAGGCGGUUCUCUAGUACGGUACUGACGCUGAGACACGAAAGCUAGGGGAGCGAACGGG
This 253-nucleotide ribosomal RNA is filed under the name uncultured bacterium. RNAcentral's name for it is "partial 16S ribosomal RNA". It matches the Rfam family "Bacterial small subunit ribosomal RNA", at positions 524 to 776 of the family's 1533-position model. The record is from RNAcentral.